This 127-nucleotide ribosomal RNA is filed under the name Ochotona princeps (American pika). The record is from RNAcentral. Lineage: Eukaryota; Metazoa; Chordata; Mammalia; Lagomorpha; Ochotonidae.
GUCUGCGGCCAUACUACCAUGAAUGUACCCAAUCUCGGAAGCUAAGCAGGGUCGGGCCUGGUUAGUACUUGAAUGGGGGAAUUCUUAAUGCCUCUUGCCUCAGUUGGUUCUCCUAGAGUCUCUGACC